This 415-nucleotide ribosomal RNA is filed under the name uncultured prokaryote. Its description in RNAcentral is "bacterial SSU rRNA". It matches the Rfam family "Bacterial small subunit ribosomal RNA", at positions 355 to 774 of the family's 1533-position model. The record is from RNAcentral.
UGAGGAAUUUUGCGCAAUGGGGGAAGCCCUGACGCAGCAACGCCGCGUGGGUGAUGAAGGCCUUCGGGUCGUAAAGCCCUGUCGGGCGGGAAGAACGUCCCUUCGGGGAGUGACGGUACCGCCAGAGGAAGCACCGGCUAACUCCGUGCCAGCAGCCGCGGUAAUACGGAGGGUGCAAGCGUUAUUCGGAAUAACUGGGCGUAAAGGGCGUGCAGGCGGGAGCGCAAGUCGGAUGUGAAAGCCCGGGGCUUAACCCCGGAAGGGCAUUGGAAACUGCUUGUCUUGAGUUCUGGAGAGGAAGGGGGAAUUCCCGGUGUAGAGGUGAAAUUCGUAGAGAUCGGGAGGAACAUCAGUGGCGAAGGCGCCCUUCUGGACAGCAACUGACGCUGAGGCGCGAAAGCGUGGGGAGCAAACA